GCAUGAAUUGAGUGGCCAAGUAGCUAUGAAAUAAUUUCGUAGCUAAUUUAUAGUUAACCUUAAAACAUCUGAAGCCAAUCUACACCAAUUACACUAUAUUUGUAACCGAUUUUUCAUCUUCUAACAUAUCACAAUAUCACACACCCUUUAUAAUAUAUAUGUAAUAUGUUACACCUUAUAGUCACACAUUUUAAUAAGUGAACAGAGGAUAAAGUGUUACAUAGAAAACUCUAUCAUAAGAGUUAUUUUAAAUGAAUGAUCAAAACAACAAAAUUAAUAAAAUAAAAAGUGAAAAGGAGAAAAGGAGAAAUAGUACAAACUU
Molecule: long non-coding RNA, 322 nt
Filed under: Trifolium pratense (red clover)
Lineage: Eukaryota; Viridiplantae; Streptophyta; Magnoliopsida; Fabales; Fabaceae
Description: long non-coding RNA (TPRA_LNC004709)
Source: RNAcentral